Molecule: long non-coding RNA, 533 nt
Filed under: Betta splendens (Siamese fighting fish)
Lineage: Eukaryota; Metazoa; Chordata; Actinopteri; Anabantiformes; Osphronemidae
Description: lncRNA (ENSBSLG00000019478.1)
Source: RNAcentral
AUAGAGAGUUGAAAGGCCCUCAGCCUUAUUCAUUCACUGAUGAUUUACACCCUGUGUUUGCAUGCAGGCAUGGCUCCAGGGAUUGAACUGGGACAGGGGACAGGAUCAUGACAACAAGUUAAAACCCACCGUGACGGACCUUUCAUACUGCCGCUCAGAGUCAGACGGAUGAUAGAUUGGGACGGCGCUAAGGUGGUGACUGCCAUCUGGGAGCGUGCGAUACAGAGUUUAGGGAUAAAGAAGUGGAUGUUUGUCUCUGUUCUACAUCUCCUCUCUCCAUCUUCCACUUCUUUGUGGCUCCUUUUUCUUUUCUGCCUGUGAAUUCCCGUGGUGAAUGUCACAACCCGAGGGCCGGAGCAUUGGCGGUCCAGCAGAUAUGGGCCCUCUUUGUUCUGAAACGCCGCAUCACGGGGGGAUAUUUGCAUGAAGGGCACAGAUCUCAGUCAUCCCAGCUUGAAAGAGGGGACGGAAGGGCUCCAUUCCCAGAAACAGUCCAAGGACAACAAAAGCCCGCGAUAACACGUAUUUCCUAG